GCUUAAAGCACAAAGCACGCCUGUAACUAGUUCAGUGGUGGUUCAGACCAGGAUGGUCUUCAAUUCCUCCUCCCCUGUUCCCAGUGAGAGUUUGGUUCUCAGUGUAACCCAGACUCUUCUGAGUGCUCGACUCCCAAACCUCACUGACUCUGUAAAAGAGCUGAACUUCACCUAUGAGAAAAUUUCAGACACCUCCUAUGCGGUAAAUUUUCAAUUCAACAUCAGUAACGUCAGCAUGGCACAGAACCCUGACCAAAGGAAUGAUACCUACAAGCAAGUGGAGAACAUCACCAACAAUGCUGUGAGUGUGCAUCGCCAUGGGCUUAAAGACAUUCUGACAAAUGUCCAGAGAUGGCGUUGUAUCCCACUGCAGAGUUUAACAAAAACUAUUUCAAAAAUCAAAUAGUCGAAAAGUUCAGACUCACAGUAGGGUAAUCAGGCAAAGGUUGAAAUACAAGAAAGUAGAUAAAGAAGAAGAAAAAAACAGCACAGAAAUGUGCAACAGGAUCAUACACUGUAAUCGAAUAGAGGCCUGCAAUGGGGGAACUGUAAAGGGUAAGAGACACUGAUCAGCCAUAACAUUAUGACCACCUGCCUAACAUUGUGUUGGUCCCCCUUUUGCUGCCAAAACAGCCCUGACCCAUCGAGGCAAGGCCUCCACUAGAUCCCUGAAGGUGUGCUGUGAUAACUGGCACCAAGAUGUUAGCAGCAUAUCCUUUAUGUCCUGCAAGUUGCGAGGUGGGACCUCCACGGAUCGGGCAUGUUUGUCCAGCACAUCCCACAGAUGCUGGAUUGGAUGGAGAUCUGGGGAAUUUGGAGGCCAAAUCCAACCUUUCUUAAAGCAUUUUUGCUCUGUGGCACGAUGCAUUAUCCUGCUGAAAGAGGCCACAGCUAUCAAGGAAUACCAUUUUGUGAAACGGUGUACAUGGUCUGCAACAAUGCUUAGGUAGGUGGUACGUGUCAAAGUAACAUCCACAUGGAUGGCAGGACCCGAGCUUUCCCAGCAGAACAAUGCCCAAAGCAUGAAACUACAUCCGUCGACUUGCGUCCUUCCCAUAGUGCAUCCUGGUGCCAGGUGUUUCCCAGGUAAGAGACGCACACGCACUCGGCCAUCCACGUGAGGUAAAAGAAAACGUGUUUCAUCAGAGCAGGCCACCGUUUCCAUUGGUCCAGCGUCCAGUCCUGAUGCUCACGUGCCCAUUGUUGGUGCUUUCGGCGGUGCACAGAGGUCAGCGUGUCCGCCCUGACCGGUCUGCAGCUAUGCACCCCCGAUACGCAACAAACUGCCAUGCACUGUGUAUUCUGACCCCUUUCUAUCAGAACCAGCAUUAACUUCUCCAGCAAUUUGAGCAACAGUAGCUCGUCUGUUGCAUCGGACCACACGGGCCAUCCUUCACUUCCCACGUGCAUCAGUGAGGCUUGGCCGCCCAUGACCCUGUUGCCGGUUCCCCACUGUUCCUUCCUUGGACCACUUUUGAUAGAUACUGACCACUGCAGACCGGGAACACCCCACAAGAGCUGCAGUUUUGGAGAUGCACUGAUCCAGUCGUCUAGCCAUCACAAUUAAGCCCUUUUCUAACUCGCUCAUAUCCUUACGCUUGUCCAUUCUUCCUUCUUCUAACACAUCAACUUCGAGGACAAAAAGUUCACUUGCUGCCUAAUAUAUCCCACCCACUAACAGGUGCCAUGAUGAGAAGAUAAUCAGCGUUAUUCACGUCACCUGGCUCUGCUCAUGAUGUUAUGGCUGAACGGUGUAGGUCUAACAGAAACAGUAGGAAGACUUUGCAAUGGCACACAACCAUGCUCCUUAAGUAGGAAGAUAAAUGAUGCAAAUUCCCUCAGGUGUGCAAAGCAGUCCAGAACCCAGGUGAGUGUCUCACGUGGUCAUUGGGAGAAGUACAGGCAGUGGCACUUACCUUUCUGUGUUCAAAUGUAUUGUAGCAUCAGCUAUCUAAAAAAGUAUGUUGUAUAUUGA
This is a long non-coding RNA of Hemibagrus wyckioides, 1975 nucleotides long. RefSeq lists it as uncharacterized. Lineage: Eukaryota; Metazoa; Chordata; Actinopteri; Siluriformes; Bagridae. The transcript is spliced from 3 exons. The record is from RefSeq and is a predicted model, not a curated record.